This 301-nucleotide ribosomal RNA is filed under the name uncultured bacterium. Its description in RNAcentral is "partial 16S ribosomal RNA". It matches the Rfam family "Bacterial small subunit ribosomal RNA", at positions 509 to 809 of the family's 1533-position model. The record is from RNAcentral.
CAGUCGCCGCGGUAAUACGAAGGGUGCAAGCGUUAAUCGGAAUUACUGGGCGUAAAGCGCGCGUAGGUGGUUUGGUAAGAUGGAUGUGAAAUCCCCGGGCUCAACCUGGGAACUGCAUCCAUAACUGCCUGACUAGAGUACGGUAGAGGGUGGUGGAAUUUCCUGUGUAGCGGUGAAAUGCGUAGAUAUAGGAAGGAACACCAGUGGCGAAGGCGACCACCUGGACUGAUACUGACACUGAGGUGCGAAAGCGUGGGGAGCAAACAGGAUUAGAUACCCCCGUAGUCCCUGUCUCUUAUAA